AGAAGCUUGCUUCUCUUGAGAGCGGCGGACGGGUGAGUAAUGCCUAGGAAUCUGCCUGGUAGUGGGGGAUAACGUUCGGAAACGGACGCUAAUACCGCAUACGUCCUACGGGAGAAAGCAGGGGACCUUCGGGCCUUGCGCUAUCAGAUGAGCCUAGGUCGGAUUAGCUAGUUGGUGAGGUAAUGGCUCACCAAGGCGACGAUCCGUAACUGGUCUGAGAGGAUGAUCAGUCACACUGGAACUGAGACACGGUCCAGACUCCUACGGGAGGCAGCAGUGGGGAAUAUUGGACAAUGGGCGAAAGCCUGAUCCAGCCAUGCCGCGUGUGUGAAGAAGGUCUUCGGAUUGUAAAGCACUUUAAGUUGGGAGGAAGGGCAGUUACCUAAUACGUGAUUGUUUUGACGUUACCGACAGAAUAAGCACCGGCUAACUCUGUGCCAGCAGCCGCGGUAAUACAGAGGGUGCAAGCGUUAAUCGGAAUUACUGGGCGUAAAGCGCGCGUAGGUGGUUUGUUAAGUUGGAUGUGAAAUCCCCGGGCUCAACCUGGGAACUGCAUUCAAAACUGACUGACUAGAGUAUGGUAGAGGGUGGUGGAAUUUCCUGUGUAGCGGUGAAAUGCGUAGAUAUAGGAAGGAACACCAGUGGCGAAGGCGACCACCUGGACUGAUACUGACACUGAGGUGCGAAAGCGU
Molecule: ribosomal RNA, 692 nt
Filed under: Pseudomonas sp. N-RO8-3
Lineage: Bacteria; Pseudomonadati; Pseudomonadota; Gammaproteobacteria; Pseudomonadales; Pseudomonadaceae
Description: bacterial SSU rRNA
Rfam family: Bacterial small subunit ribosomal RNA
Source: RNAcentral